RNAcentral lists this ribosomal RNA (467 nucleotides) under uncultured bacterium. RNAcentral's name for it is "partial 16S ribosomal RNA". It matches the Rfam family "Bacterial small subunit ribosomal RNA", at positions 28 to 507 of the family's 1533-position model. The record is from RNAcentral.
GACGAACGCUGGCGGCGUGCUUAACACAUGCAAGUCGAACGGAAAGGCCCUGCUUUUGUGGGGUGCUCGAGUGGCGAACGGGUGAGUAACACGUGAGUAACCUGCCCUUGACUUUGGGAUAACUUCAGGAAACUGGGGCUAAUACCGGAUAGGAGCUCCUGCUGCAUGGUGGGGGUUGAAAAGUUCGGCGGGUGGGGAUGGACUCGCGGCUUAUCAGCUUGUUGGUGGGGUAGUGGCUUACCAAGGCUUUGACGGGUAGCCGGCCUGAGAGGGUGACCGGCCACAUUGGGACUGAGAUACGGCCCAGACUCCUACGGGAGGCAGCAGUGGGGAAUAUUGCACAAUGGGCGGAAGCCUGAUGCAGCAACGCCGCGUGCGGGAUGACGGCCUUCGGGUUGUAAACCGCUUUCGCCUGUGACGAAGCGUGAGUGACGGUAAUGGGUAAAGAAGCACCGGCUAACUACGUG